GCCAACUGUGAUUUGAGACGGCAGAUUGAUGAACAGCAAAAGAUGCUAGAGAAAUACAAGGAACGAUUAAAUAGAUGUGUGACAAUGAGCAAGAAACUCCUUAUAGAAAAGGUCAGUGAAUAAUGUUGGUCUAAACUCUGUAUCCCAAGAUACUCAAUGUGUGUCAUUGUGUGGCUUCUUAUUCCUUACUUGAGAUGAAAAUAUUUAAAAGUAGAGCUUUUUAGGAACAUGAUUUGACAAUUAGAAUUUUUUCCUUACAUGGACACCAGACCAAGCAUCCAGAGUGUUAAUUCG
Molecule: small RNA, 294 nt
Filed under: Pan troglodytes (chimpanzee)
Lineage: Eukaryota; Metazoa; Chordata; Mammalia; Primates; Hominidae
Description: retained intron
Source: RNAcentral